AUGCAAUCUGACAUAGAGAAGGUAAAAAGCAUCGUUAUAUAUGAAGUGGAUGAACUAGAACAGAGCAUAUGUAGGACAGAGGCUAGAACAAGAAAGGCUAGAGCAAGAAAUUGUAGCAUGGUCUUAAACAGAAAGAACACAAAGACGUAUGGAGCAGCGGCAGAAGCACCGGUCUUGGGGUCGAGGUCGUCGCCAGCCAUGUUGUCGAAGAGGUUGUCGACGUCGGGGAAGAAGUCGUCGUUGGGGAAGUGGUUGUCGGUGUUCGGAACGUCCGUGAUGAACCGGUCAGUAGUCGCGCAGAGCGCUCCCCAAAAAUCUUAUCACCCUUCUCCCGCAUAG
RNAcentral lists this ribosomal RNA (339 nucleotides) under Triticum aestivum (bread wheat). RNAcentral describes it as "partial small subunit ribosomal RNA". Lineage: Eukaryota; Viridiplantae; Streptophyta; Magnoliopsida; Poales; Poaceae. The record is from RNAcentral.